This is a non-coding RNA of Myotis brandtii (Brandt's bat), 64 nucleotides long. NCBI's taxonomy places the organism in Eukaryota, Metazoa, Chordata, Mammalia, Chiroptera, Vespertilionidae. The record is from Rfam.
GGCCACCCUCUGCGGGGCAAUCGAUUGGGGGGCUCUGCGAUUGAUUGCCCCACAGAGGGAGGCC